Molecule: ribosomal RNA, 77 nt
Filed under: Paenalicyclobacillus ferrooxydans
Lineage: Bacteria; Bacillati; Bacillota; Bacilli; Caryophanales; Alicyclobacillaceae
Description: Alicyclobacillus ferrooxydans partial 23S ribosomal RNA
Source: RNAcentral
CAAGGUAGAUCGGUCCGGUGUGGAAGCAUGGUGACAUGUGGAGCUGACGGAUACGAAUCGGUCGAGGGCUUCACCUG